CUUGACUAAUUAUAAGAGGUUUAGCCUGCCCAGUGACACAUGUUCAACGGCCGCGGUAUCCUAACCGUGCGAAGGUAGCGUAAUCACUUGUUCUUUAAAUGAGGACUAGUAUGAACGGCAUCACGAAGGUUAUACUGUCUCCUUUCUCUAAUCAGUAAAACUAAUCUCCCCGUGAAGAAGCGAGGAUAAAUUUAUAAGACGAGAAGACCCUAUGGAGCUUUAAACUAACCAGCAUUUGCUAUAUAUAAAAUUUUUAAUAACUUUAAAGAUAAUCUAGCCCUCUGACUGGUAAUUUUCGAUUGGGGUGAUCACGGAACAAAAAUAACCUCCGUGUCGAAAGGGCUUACCUGAGCAAAAAGCGACAGCUUUCCGCACUAAAAAAUUAACGUUUAUUGACCCAAUAUUUUGAUCAACGAAC
This 418-nucleotide ribosomal RNA is filed under the name Boana punctata group sp. ABGD cluster 85. Its description in RNAcentral is "partial large subunit ribosomal RNA". It matches the Rfam family "Bacterial large subunit ribosomal RNA", at positions 1834 to 2439 of the family's 2925-position model. Lineage: Eukaryota; Metazoa; Chordata; Amphibia; Anura; Hylidae. The record is from RNAcentral.